RNAcentral lists this ribosomal RNA (325 nucleotides) under uncultured Bacillota bacterium. RNAcentral describes it as "bacterial SSU rRNA". It matches the Rfam family "Bacterial small subunit ribosomal RNA", at positions 28 to 349 of the family's 1533-position model. The record is from RNAcentral. Lineage: Bacteria; Bacillati; Bacillota.
GACGAACGCUGGCGGCGUGCCUAAUACAUGCAAGUCGAGCGGGUUUAUCCUUCGGGAUAAGCUAGCGGCGGACGGGUGAGUAACACGUAGGUAACCUGCCUUUAAGACUGGGAUAACUAUCGGAAACGGUAGCUAAUACCGGAUAAUUUGUUUCUUCUCAUGAAGAGACACUGAAAGGCGGAGUAAUCUGCCACUUAUAGAUGGGCCUGCGGCGCAUUAGCUAGUUGGUGAGGUAACGGCUCACCAAGGCGACGAUGCGUAGCCGACCUGAGAGGGUGAACGGCCACACUGGGACUGAGACACGGCCCAGACUCCUACGGGAGCG